Molecule: non-coding RNA, 107 nt
Organism: Gossypium hirsutum (cotton)
Lineage: Eukaryota; Viridiplantae; Streptophyta; Magnoliopsida; Malvales; Malvaceae
Source: Rfam
AGACCAUGGUGAUGGCAUCUUUGUAUGAGCAACUUAAAAUGUUCCUAAGCUUCGUGAAAACUUUCUCCUUCCAACUAUUUAAAUGUUGCAAUCUCUCUCCUUAGUUG